GUUAAGGUGGCAGAGCCCGGUAAUUGCGUAAAACUUAAACCCUUAUACUCAGAGAUUCAAAUCCUCUCCUUAACA
Molecule: transfer RNA, 75 nt
Filed under: Ovis ammon hodgsoni
Lineage: Eukaryota; Metazoa; Chordata; Mammalia; Artiodactyla; Bovidae
Description: tRNA-Leu
Rfam family: tRNA
About the family: Transfer RNA (tRNA) molecules are approximately 80 nucleotides in length. Their secondary structure includes four short double-helical elements and three loops (D, anti-codon, and T loops).
Source: RNAcentral